ACUCAGUUGGUAAAGUACAAAGCUCUUAACCUUGUGGACGUGGGUUCAAGCCCCAU
Molecule: transfer RNA, 56 nt
Filed under: Triticum urartu
Lineage: Eukaryota; Viridiplantae; Streptophyta; Magnoliopsida; Poales; Poaceae
Source: Rfam by way of RNAcentral